RNAcentral lists this ribosomal RNA (239 nucleotides) under uncultured bacterium. RNAcentral describes it as "partial 16S ribosomal RNA". It matches the Rfam family "Bacterial small subunit ribosomal RNA", at positions 15 to 252 of the family's 1533-position model. The record is from RNAcentral.
GAUCAUGGCUCAGGACGAACGCUGGCGGCGUGCUUAACACAUGCAAGUCGAACGAUGACGGUGGUGCUUGCACCGCCUGAUUAGUGGCGAACGGGUGAGUAACACGUGAGUAACCUGCCCUCCACUUCGGGAUAACCUCGGGAAAUCGUGGCUAAUACCGGAUAUGAGCACUCAUCGCAUGGUGGGUGUUGGAAAGAUUUAUCGGUGGGGGAUGGACUCGCGGCCUAUCAGUUUGUUGG